Pogoniulus pusillus (Red-fronted tinkerbird) is the source of this 309-nucleotide long non-coding RNA. RefSeq lists it as uncharacterized. The record is from RefSeq and is a predicted model, not a curated record. NCBI's taxonomy places the organism in Eukaryota, Metazoa, Chordata, Aves, Piciformes, Lybiidae. The transcript is spliced from 3 exons.
GAGGAAGGGAGGGAUGGACUGGGCUGAGCUUCCAUGGGGCACAACCUCUGCCAGCAGCAAAGCCUCUCCUUUUGCUGGGCGCUUUCUCUGCCUGUGAAAGAAGCCUUUCAGCGCAGCAGCUCUGCAGAGCCGAGCCCAAAAUACAGCUGAGGAAGAGACAGGUUGACAGACUGCUCCUGGAGAAGUUUAUCCGAGGUGCACAAAAGAAAGAGCAGCAUCCCUGAAACGGGAAAGAAAGGUUGGAAGAAGGAGAAGCAGCUGAAGACACGAAGGAAGAUGUCCCCAAGGAGGAAAGGCUGCUCCCAGUGG